AGUGAACGCUGGCGGCGUGCUUAACACAUGCAAGUCGAACGAGAACGGAUUAUAGCUUGCUAUAAUUGUCAGCUAAGUGGCGCACGGGUGAGUAAUGUAUAGGUAAUAUGCCUCUUACUAAGGGAUAACAAUUGGAAACGAUUGCUAAUACCUUAUACUCCUUGUUAACUUAAGUUAAUAAGGGAAAGAUUUAUUGGUAAGAGAUUAGCCUGUAUUGUAUCAGUUAGUUGGUGGGGUAAUGGCCUACCAAGACUAUGACACAUAACUGGUUUGAGAGGAUGAUCAGUCACACUGGAACUGAGACACGGUCCAGACUCCUACGGGAGGCAGCAGUGGGGAAUAUUGCACAAUGGACGAAAGUCUGAUGCAGCAACGCCGCGUGGAGGAUGACACAUUUCGGUGCGUAAACUCCUUUUAUAUGAGAAGAUAAUGACGGUAUUAUAUGAAUAAGCACCGGCUAACUCCGUGCCAGCAGCCGCGGUAAUACGGGGGGUGCAAGCGUUACUCGGAAUCACCGGGCGUAAAGAGCAUGUAGGCGGAUUAAUAAGUUUGAAGUGGAAUCCUAUAGCUUAACUAUAGAACUGCUUUGAAAACUGUUAAUCUAGAAUGUGGGAGAGGUAGAUGGAAUUUCUGGUGUAGGGGUAAAAUCCGUAGAGAUCAGAAGGAAUACCGAUUGCGAAGGCGAUCUACUGGAACAUUAUUGACGCUGAGAUGCGAAAGCGUGGGGAGCAAACAGGAUUAGAUACCCUGGUAGUCCACGCCCUAAACGAUGUACACUAGUUGUUGUGAGACUUGAUCUUGCAGUAAUGCAGUUAACACAUUAAGUGUACCGCCUGGGGAGUACGGUCGCAAGAUUAAAACUCAAAGGAAUAGACGGGGACCCGCAC
Molecule: ribosomal RNA, 887 nt
Filed under: uncultured bacterium
Lineage: Bacteria
Description: bacterial SSU rRNA
Rfam family: Bacterial small subunit ribosomal RNA
Source: RNAcentral